This is an RNA transcript of Onychostoma macrolepis, 1779 nucleotides long. It is a transcript of the gene named protein LSM14 homolog A-like, with no coding region annotated. Lineage: Eukaryota; Metazoa; Chordata; Actinopteri; Cypriniformes; Cyprinidae. The transcript is spliced from 4 exons. The record is from RefSeq and is a predicted model, not a curated record.
UUUUCAGUUUCACACUUUUUACACUUAAUAGUUAACCCUGGGUCAUUCUAAACCCUGGUUAAAGGAAAUCCUGGGUUUUCACACUGCUUAUACUUUAAUUAAUCUUUGGUAUUCAUAGUUAACCCUGAAUCAUUCCAAACCCCAGGUAAAAGGAAUUAAGGGGUUAUCCUCUAAUAGUAAUUCUGGGUUUUCAUAAGUUUAAUAUACAGUGGAGAUCAAUUUUAUGAAUACUUGAUUUUUCAUAAAUAAUGUAAUCUUCAUUGUUCAAAAUUUGAAGGAUUUUUAGUCCAUGCUAGUAGAACAGAGUUUUACAAAAUAACCAAGGCACUUCAACAAAAAGUCUUUAUUUUGUGGAAAACACAGUGCUCAAAAUUAGAGAACAGCAAUGAUUGUAGAAUGAAGAAAGAUUAUUAAAAAGGUUACAGCAGUCAAAAAUUAGUAGGAAGUGCUUUGAAUGACUUCUGCACAUCUGCAGCCGCAGGACAUCGCUAGUCUUUCACACUGUGCUGGUGUGAUCUUGAUCCACUCUUCUUCCAGUCUCUUCCACAGUGACUGUAGUGGGUUUCUUAGCCAUAACUCUGUCACCAUUGGGAGAUGCUUGCGGGGAAGGAACUGCAUGUUGCCGAAGGAGAUUCUGAUAAACAUUUGCAUUCAUCCUGCAAUGUAUCUUUAUAGGAGACCCAGGUUCUGAUGCAGAAAACAUCCCCCAACCCAUGACACUUCCUUCUCCACCUUUCACUGACUUCUUUACACACUUUGGCUUCAGUCUUUCCCCAGCUUAAAUAAUGUCUCCCAAAUUGAACUUGCUUUCAUCACUAAAGUGAACUCUCUCCACACAACAUGCUCCACAGCAAAGAUCCUUAUCCUGUUCAGAGCUGAACUGGGGAGCAAUUCCAGCUGCAGUGCUGAACCGAUUCCCCAUUGAGAUUCUCUUGCGCUCCUUUGGCACCAAGGACCACCCCGUUGCACCCAGGGAUGAGAUAUUUGAGUAUAUUAUAUUCAGAGGAAGUGACAUCAAAGACCUGACGGUGUGUGAACCUCCCAAACCGACAUGCUCUCUGCCUCAGGACCCCGCCAUUGUUCAGGCACGGAUGUCCCGAAACCAAGCGUACCAGAGUCCAGUCAGUCCAGAGGAGGAAACGGGGACACUUCUCUGUAUAACACGUCUGCUGAAAAGCCUUUCACCGCAGUCAUGUUGUGCUGUUGGAUGCUAAAACUGCAUGAUUCUUAUAAGAGCUUUGUCCAGCUGUAUUUCUCACGCAUCCACACCUUGGCUUUUAGCAAACUCCUUUCUUAUAGAGGAACAUCUGAAUGGUGAAUCUCAUGCAACCUGAUGAGUGUUUCACCCUACGAUUCAAAAGAACAAAUGCAUUUAAGAAACUGGUUUUUUUGGACCAGUAGGCUUCAUGUGUGACAUUAUUUUCACUAAAGAAAGUUUUAUUUGAAAGGUCUCAUUGUAAUUGAAAUAGUUGUACUUGUACUUUACUGAUCUGCUGAUGUUAUUAAUUAAAACUGUAACGGGAGCACCUAAUUGUCUUGAAAAUGUGCACAUAUUGUUUUUUUAUUUUGGUGGAAUGGUGACCUGAGUAUGCUUUCAUGAGAUUCACUCAGUAUGCUGAAUUUGCUCAUAUCUCCUCUGUGAGAAAAAGCCUGUGUGUUUUUAUGAUUCUUGGGUGACUACAAGUUAUAGCCUACCUUUAUUUUAAUUUAGCUUGAUUACUUCUCAAUAGACAAUGGCUUUUUUUCUGCACACCAUCAACUAAACCUAACUAAAGUCUG